RNAcentral lists this ribosomal RNA (576 nucleotides) under uncultured bacterium. RNAcentral describes it as "bacterial SSU rRNA". It matches the Rfam family "Bacterial small subunit ribosomal RNA", at positions 52 to 660 of the family's 1533-position model. The record is from RNAcentral.
CACAUGCAAGUCGAACGAGAAAGUGGAGCAAUCCAUGAGUAAAGUGGCGACCGGGUGAGUAACACGUGACUAACCUACCUCCGAGUGGGGAAUAACUCCGGGAAACCGGGGCUAAUACCGCAUAACAUCGCGAGAUCAAAGCAGCAAUGCGCUUGGAGAGGGGGUCGCGGCUGAUUAGCUAGUUGGCGGGGUAACGGCCCACCAAGGCGAAGAUCGGUAUCCGGCCUGAGAGGGCGCACGGACACACUGGAACUGAAACACGGCCCAGACUCCUACGGGAGGCAGCAGUGGGGAAUUUUGCGCAAUGGGGGAAACCCUGACGCAGCAACGCCGCGUGGAGGAUGAAGCCCUUUGGGGCGUAAACUCCUUUCGACCCAGACGAUAAUGACGGUACGAGUGGAAGAAGCACCGGCUAACUCUGUGCCAGCAGCCGCGGUAAUACAGAGGGUGCAAGCGUUGUUCGGAAUUAUUGGGCGUAAAGGGCGCGUANGCGGUGCGGUAAGUCACCUGUGAAAUCUCCCGGCUUAACCGGGAGCCUGCAGGCGAAACUACCGUGCUGGAGUGUGGGAAAGGUGC